CCUACGGGAGGCAGCAGUGGGGAAUAUUGGGCAAUGGCGGCAACUCUGACCCAGCAAAGCCGCGUGAAUGAUGAAGGUCUUCGGCUUGGACAGUUCUGUGAUGGGGGAUGAACACAAGGACGGUACCCCAAUAGCAAGACACGGCUAACUACGAGCCAGCAGCAGCGGUAAUCCGUAGGUGGCAAGCGUUAUCCGGAAUGACUGGGCGUAAAGGGUGCGUAGGUGGUUUAGGAAGUUGGCGGUGUAAUUCCGGGGCUCAACCUCGGCGCUACCGCCAAAACGAUGAGACUAGAGUGUAGGAGGGGUAAGUGGAAAUCCUAGUGUAGCGGUGGAAUGCUUAGAUAUUAGGAGGAACAUCAGGGGCGAAGGCGACUUACUGGACUGUAACUGACACUGAGGCACGAAAGCGUGGGGAGCAAACAGGAUUAGAUACCCCUGGAGUC
This 443-nucleotide ribosomal RNA is filed under the name uncultured bacterium. RNAcentral describes it as "partial 16S ribosomal RNA". It matches the Rfam family "Bacterial small subunit ribosomal RNA", at positions 338 to 795 of the family's 1533-position model. The record is from RNAcentral.